This 8053-nucleotide long non-coding RNA is filed under the name Salvia miltiorrhiza (redroot sage). RNAcentral describes it as "long non-coding RNA (SMIL_LNC005529)". The record is from RNAcentral. Lineage: Eukaryota; Viridiplantae; Streptophyta; Magnoliopsida; Lamiales; Lamiaceae.
UUUAUUUAUUUCUUUCUUCAGUAAAUGAAAUCCAGUAAUUAUUUAUGCUUUGAAUUCUGCUUAGUCUCUUAUUAUAUUUAAUUUAUGUAUGUUAUUAUUUUAUUCUAAGUUUGUUUAUGCGCUUCGCGUGAGUAAAACCGCGAUGAGAAUUAUUGAGUAAACCAAUAAUUAUUCAAUUCAUAUUCAUAACUGACUUAGCUAAGUCAUGUAUUUAUUAAUUACAAAGUAUUAUUUUCUAUCGAUUAUUAUUAUUACUUGAGUCGGGAUUUUUUUUUUUAUCUUCGGAAGCAAAUUACAUCUACAUUUUUAAUUCAGAUUUUUUUAAAUGAGACGCAUGAUAUUAGCAAGACCAGAGAUCGAUAUUCAAGAUACGUGAUUAAUGGGAAUAAUCAAUGUUUGAUUGCAAACAUGCAAUUUUAUUAGCAAAACUCGAGAUUAGUAUUACAGAUACAUAAGAUAUAGAUUUACCGAAGACUGAAGGAUUUUCUUCACUUUACUCCUACCAUAUAGCUAGUACACGCAGCAAUAAAGAAAAGAAAAAGGGGAAGGGAAAGAGAAAGGUGCGUGUGUGAACAUAGAAUAAAAUAGCUGCAACAACAGUAGUUUUGAUAACACUCAUGUCCCAUCCUUUCCCCUUUCCCCUGUAGCUUGCGGCGCUUGCGGCUGGAGCAGUAAGGGAUCUUUCAACCACCCUCUAUCAGCCACCCUACGACAGCCUAUCUACCCCUUUAUACUACACCCAACAAUCCCUUCAAAUUUCCUUAGUGCACAAGAAUUUGAAGAAAGAGAGAGAGAGAGCAGAAGAACUUGCUGCUGCUACCAGACUUCAAGCUUUGGCUUCAACUCCCCAUUCCAUUCUUAAUCAACCUGCAUUUAUUAAGAUGAACCCACAAUUCUUUUCAGUUUCUUCCCCAAUGAAUUCAACAGCAAAACAGACGGCCAAACACCAAACAAUUGCAAGGUAAAUACUAAGCUUCCUUAUUUCAAAUCCAGUUCACAUAUCAUCCAUCAAACACACUUUGGAUAAAGAAUACAGAGUAGAAGAUGAGUAUAUUUUGCAUAAUGGGCUUAGAAUCACGAAAUCAGUAAGAACUCUUAUGAUAUAGAAACAACUACAUGCUUAGUUUAAUCUCUUGCUAAUCGAAAAUAGGAAACAAGAUGAUUUAUGGGCUACACCAACUGGAAUAACACUAGAAAUCAAAUUGAUGGAUUUCGUUUAGAACACCUUAAACCUGUGUGAGUGAGAGACUUGAAAUCGGACGGAGGAUGGCUGCCCCGACCCCGUCGAGACAGAGGAAUGCCGACAAAGGCGAGUCUUCGGGUGAGACAGGCGGCGGUUUGCGAACCACGACGAUAAGAAAUGACGCGUCGGACCCGUGCAUAGGACGGCGGUCCCAGCGGCGAUUUGAGAAAGGAAGGAGUUAGGGCUCGGUUCCUGAUUUCGAUUGAGCAUGCUUGAGUCUGACUUGAGUAGAGAGAGGGCAGGACCGUUGAACUUGGCCGGAUUAUCAGGAGCUGCGGCGGCGGCUGGAACAGUCAAGAGGCGCAGCUUCGCCGGUCCUUCAGAUAGAAGAGCAGACUUAGAACGAUGACCUCUCGUCGGGCCUCCAGUAACAGAGGCGACGGCGGCGGGUUUUAAUGGUGGAAACUAGGGCUCGGAUUGAAGAAUUGAGAAAUUGAAUUAAGAAGUGGAGGAGAGAAGGAGAGGGUAAGGACGAAAGAAAAAGGGAAGGCGGACGCCGGGGAGUGAGGACGCCGACUCGCCGGCGGCGCGGACUUCAGAGGCGGCGCUAAUUGUAUUAAGAGAGAAGGCUAUUUCAGCCGUGACAUUGAGAGAGAGAGAGACGGACUUUGAGGAUGAAACGAGAGAGGAGAGAGAGACCGAAAAAGAAGAAAAGAAAAUAAGGAUGGGCUAGAUACUUGGGCCGAAUUCAUGGGCUGGAGUUAAUAGGUGGGCCGACUUAUUUCCUAUUGUGAGCCCAAGUAUUUAUUUAGUAAAAUGGGUUGUAUUUGUGGGCUGAUUUAUUUAAUAAUUGGGGCUUUCACAAUUUAUUUUAGUUCAAUAAAAGACAAGUCUAGAUUAAGUGAUUAAUUAGUUUUUAACUAUUUUUUUUAUUUAUGGAUUUAAUUUAACACGAAGUUAUGAGAUUAGUCAGCGAUUAGUACCUUAAGGUGAGUGGAUUGAUUAAGAUUAAUUAUCCGAUCUAAUAAGACGAACUUUAAUCCUAUAGUUGGAUUAUGAAUAUGAGUCAUGCAUAGUUAAAUUACGCAUUCUCAUUUAUUUGAGAAUUUUCCUCGAGUUAAAUUCUUACUUUAUAUUCUCGGAUUAAAGGUCAAGCACAAGAGUACGAGCUAGUCAAGGAUUCUUUGCUAUCAGGUGGGCAUUACUUUUACUAUACGUAUAUAGAGAUCCCUGCUGUCGUAGGCCUCUUAUAGAAUGAAUGCAUGAGAUGAUUUAACUGUUAAUUUCAGUUUUAUAUAUCUAUCAAACGAGUUUAAUGCUACCUUUGAACAAGUUAUUUCUACAAACUUUGAAUAAUAUUCAAUUUGUCUUGCCAUAAAAUGUUUAAAUUUUAGUAUGAUAUCUAUCUGCUUUGGCUUUGCCAAUGAUGAAAUCGAAUUCGGGUCCUGAGCAGUUGAUAGCUAUCCUGCCAGGGCUAGUGUACACCAGUGACCGUGAGUCAUCUAGCGGGUUGGCCGGUCAAGUGACCGUGAGAGGUGGCCACCUCUCCGGCACACAGUUCCAGAUAUGAUAGAUUACAAGAGAACUUAGACUGCAGUCGAACUUUAAGAAUCACAAAUGAAUUUAGUAAGCUUGGGCCUUUUAGCUAAAACUCCCUUGCUGUACUGUUUAUGAUGGCAUGACAAUUUACAGUUUCACGAAGCAUGUUUAUGUUUAUACUUAGGCAUACGUGCCCACUGAGUACUCUCGUACUCAGCCCUGCAUAUUUUUAAAUGUGAGGUUGAGCAGUGGUUGAUGGAUGAGUGAUGGCGGCUUUUGUCAUAGUUAAUAAUAUCUGUAUACAUUCUUCUACAUGUAUAGUUAUCAUUGCUCGUAUCAAGUUAUGUUUUUGGUAAGUGGAUAUCCGAACUUACAGCUUAUUUGAGUCUCUAGAUAAACCUCCAUUAUUUAUAAAGUCUCUCUUUUCCUUCUUAACAAUAGUAAUGAUCCUUCCUAUUUGAUUACUCACCCCUUUCUCCCCGUUCUAAUCUCCCUCCUUAGUCACGAUUUCCCGCUUAAUUAUCCUUAAUUAGCCGGUCGUGACAUUUGCUUUGUUGGCAUUCCGAUGAGUCGACAUAUGGUCACCAAUGUAAUACACAUAUGCAUAUCGUCGAUUCUAUAAAUCAUUUUCUUGAUUCUCAAAUCUCGCUCAUACUCUAUCUCAUGAAAGUAUAUAAAUAACAUAGCAGAAGUGACUUGCCGCAAAAGACUGAUAGGGUCGCUACAUAGACAUGGGAAAUUAGUAUCAAUGAGGACUAUUUCAUCAACAUUUGAAUAUAGAUAUGGUGAUCUAUCCAAGCAUUAUACAUGAUGAACUGGCUAUCUUGCAAAUUCAUCAUGAAAGAGCUCAGUUCCAAAAUGCCCUAUUAACCAGCGUUUCCGUACUAAUACUAGUCAAAAUAACUAUGCCAACAUAGGGGCAUACAAAAGCAUCGAAAUGAUCAUCGUUUUCGAAAUACACAAAUAACGUCUUACUAAAUGCACAAGAGAUUGUCUGUAUGCAUUACGUGCUUGACCCUUGGGUUGAAGCAUACGUGUUUGACUGAUUUAAUCUGAUGAGUAUCUGUUUAUCCUUGGGUCACAGAAAAUCUACCAACAGCUAGUAGAACGCAAUGAUUCAAAUCACAAAUGGCAAUUAGGCAAAGUGUUUCAAUAAUUUGCCAAACAAUUGAAAAUGAAUAACCAUAGGGUAUAAAUGAAUUGACUGAAAGGUCGAAGCAAAAUGACCUAAUAGUCUGAACCCGUUUGGCUUUUCAGAUGAAGGUUUAAAAUAUAUAGGUUUAAAGACCCAUAUAUGACGACUACUGAGAUUUUGGCCAUGUGGACUGGCCAGGUCCGACACAACUACUUCUCAGUCACUCGGAAAUACUUUUCCGAACUUGGUAACUCUUGUUCAUUGGCUGCAAAAGGUAUAUUUGGUCUAAAAUCACCACUUUCUUCUUAACAUCUUGAACAUGUCCUUGAGAAUAUUCUAGAGCUUCUCAAACUUGGAGUCUGCCUCCUAGUUUAAUGUAAUCCUUAAACAUCUUCUAUAGGCGAAAUAAGGUAGGCUCGACCUUACUCAACAAUGUUCCUCUACAUGAUCUUAAUGUAGUACUUCUAGUACUUAGUGUUCCUUCACAUAGCGCUUGAAAUGCAACCAUAUAAUUUGAAGCACUCUUCCGUGUUAUUGUAAAAGACCUUCUGAAUCAUCACGCAUUCAUAAGGAAAUAGCUUUUGCUCCUCUGAGCAUCUUUGCAGGGUAUGUGUCACCAUACGUAAUGCUAAGUCAUGGAAUGACCUUAGUCAAUGCUCUCAUUCCGGCUACUAAACUAAAUGCCUAAUCCAAGACGUUCUAACUGAGGCGAUGUCCUUGAUAGGUUAAGGUAUGUAUACUUAUCUUGAGUAUAUCCUUAGGGUCUCAUUAGAAUCUUAAUUCAUUUGUUUCAGCAUCGAUCCACUGUCGGCGCUUCUAGCUAUUAUUAAACUCUGAACCAUCUUCGAGAACUUCUCUCGUCCUACACACUUGCGUAAACUUUUAUGAUCAAUCAUAAUGGUUGGUAACUGCUAGUACCCAUAUCACAUCUCGUCUUUCCAAUUCGCAGUAGGUGAUCGUAAUCAAUAAGGAUUCUCAGUCAUGUCCUCAUCUAAUACAAUAGGUACUGUAAGCAGAAUGGUUCCGAAUAUCUGAAACUAUAAGUUGAUAGCUUUAAUCAAAUUAUUAACAUCAUAUACAAAGCAUUUUGACCCCUCGUAAGUCCAACUCUGAAGUUCAUUGAUGAAUCAUGAAAGUUAUCCUCAAGCCAUAACUAGUGAUAAUCGAGGCUAGAAGCGAGUCUCAGCUUAUUAGGGAUUAGCUAACUGAUUACAUAAGUCGCACUCAUCGCUAUAAGCAAUAUCAUACUUAAACUAUCAUCGAAUAAGGCAAUAGUCGAUUAGGUGUUCCGUCUCGCGUGAACAACCUGAAUGAAGAACUAUGCCUGCGUCAGUGAUUCGUACGUGGCACUCCGCUUGCACCACUUUCAUUGGAUUCUCUUUCGCUUUCUUGGCACUUCACCAUGGCUAUAGUGAAAUAUAACUGAGCUUCUAGCUUCUAUUGUUCUUCUCGUAACAGUGAUCAUGCAUUCUUAACGCAUCUAAGUUCAUUGAGUGAUCUUCUUAAUAAAAGACAUAAAUAGGAUAUUAAACACUUGCGCAUUCAUAUAAAACAUGAACUUCUCAAUAAAAGACAUAAACAAGAUAUUAAGCACUUGCGCAUUCGCGCGAAAUAUAAAGCUUUCGACUUUUGAAAACCUUUUGCUGUCCUUCCUCCUGGUUGAGCAUGGCGAUGUGAUGAAGUGUUGAGCUUUGGUUGACUGACUCAUAUAUACUAGUGAUCAUACUAGAAAAAUGGGUUAACUCUAGGGUUCAGAGCAAAUGAACUGCUCUGAUACCACUCUGUCACGACCGGCCCUAAUUAAGGAUAAUUAAGCCGGGGAAACCGUGACUAAGGGAGGGAGAUUAGGAGCGGGGUAGAAGGGGGAUAAUUAAACAAGGAAGGAUCGUAUUUAAUCAUUGUUAUCAAAAGGAAUAUUUACAAUAUAACGGAGGUUUCGUCAUAUUGACUCGAAUAAACUAGUAAGUUCAGAUAACUCCGACUUAGCCAAAAUAACAUAAAACUUCUGAGUACGCAGCGGAAUAAGGUUCUGAUUACAUGUAUGAAGACAUGUAUCCCCAGAGUUCAUUAAUACAUACUUCAUCACCACCAGCAGCUGCUCAACCUGCACAUUUAGAAAUAUAUGCAGGGCUGAGUACAAAAGUACUCAGUGGGCACGUAUGCCUAAGUAUAAAAAUACAUGCUUCAAAACUGUAAAUUGUCAUGCCAUCAUAAACAGUACAGCAAGGGAGUUUUUCGCUAAAAAGGCCCAAGCUUACUAAAUUCAUUUGUGAUUCUUAAAGUUCGACUGCAGUCUAAGUUCUCAUAAUCUAUCAUAUCUGAAGCUGUGUGCCGGAGAGGUGGCCACCUCUCACGGUCACUUGACCGGCCAACCCGCUAGAUGGCUCACGGUCACUAAUGUACACUAGCCCUGGCAGGAUAGCUAUCAACUGCUCAGGACCCAAAUUCGAUUACAUAACUUGGCAAAGCCACAACAGAUUGAUAUCAUACUAAAAUUGAAACAUUUUAUGGCAAGACAACUUGUUCAAUUGUAAUAUGAAACUCAUUUGAUAUAUAUAUGAAAGUAAUGCCCAAAUGCUGGCAACUCUUGUUGUGGUGCAGUAGCUCUUGCCUAGUUAUUACUCUCGCGCUUGACUUUAAUUGCGAGAAUUUAAAUAAGGUACUUGCUUGAGCAAAAUUCUCAAAUAAUGAGAAUGCGAAAUUAAACAUGCAUGACUCUCUUAUGCAUGAUUUAUUAAUCUAAGAUAAUAAUCGGGGAAGUUCUAUUGUUAAUCCUUGCUAUCGGAUACAAAAAAAUAAACCAUCUAGGUCUCGUCUCAUGAGGUCAAUUAAUUACUAUAAUAAUCUGCUUAUUCUAAUCUGCUUGACAAAAGUAAAUAGGUCUCGCUCUAUUUAAUCGAUUAGGAGAAGAUAGCUAAAUCGCUUUAGUAACCUCACAAGAAUUAAUCGUAGUUAAGAAUGACAAGUCUAACUAUCCAAUUAAUAAGGAUUGAUCACGAGUCAAGCUUAUCUAUAUAUUAUAUUAAAGACCAGUUAAACGGUCAUUUUUCCCGCCACCUACCUCUCCAAAUUUUAAAUUUUAAAUUUUCAAAUUAAUAUGUGUCAUUUUUUCGAAAAUAACUGUCUUAAUAUCAUAAAUACAAUUAUUUAAUCAUAACCCAUUCAAUGUAUCCGAGUUAUUUAAUUAACUCCCACUAACUCCCAACCAUAACUGUCUGAAUCAACAAAUUUUAAAACAAAAUAAAUAAUUUACACAAUUUACAAAUCUAUUACAGUUAUUUAGUUAAAUCCUAUCCAUAACUGCAGCAGUUACUCCAUAAUUUUAUAAAACAAAAUAAAUAAUUUACACCAUCUAUAAAUAUAACCUCACAAACUAUCACAAUACGAAUUCCACCUAUCACAAUACGAAUUCCAUAGCCAAAAAAUCGAUCUCCACAAAAAUCAUUCUCAUUUUUUCAUUUUACGUUGAAAUGGCUCCUUUGUUCGGCGUCAUCAAGGAAUUGGAACCGGGAAAGAGCAAGAUCGCAUUGCAAUUGCGCUUGAUAAGAAGUUAUGACAUCUUCAAGUUCAACAACAGAUCUGAAACAUUUUCUCAUGAGUGUGUGUUCCAUGAUAAAGAGGUACUCACUCAAUACACUAUUUUUUUAUAUUUUCGAAAAUUUCAAAUAUCAUACUAAAAUUUUUUGUUUAUUUUUACAGGGCGAUCGAAUCCAUGCCACAAUUAAUACUUCAUCACUACAGCAAAUUAAGCCACUCCUCACAGAAGGACAUGUUUAUGCAAUCAAGGAUUUUGUUAUCACCAACAACACCAUGAAAUACAAAACCACAGAGUCACAAUAUAAGCUUUUAUUGUUCAAGCACACAAGAGUUGUAGAACUCGAUGAUGAUACAUUCCCAAAUCACACAUUCAACAUCAAGAAUUUUGGAGAAAUUUCUUCUAUUUCUGACGUCCAGAAUGUGGUCAUGUUUGGUAAAAACUUUUCAGUCAUUUUAUUUUAAUUAUUAUCAUCUUAUGAAUUUUAAUUUCAAAUUUAUAUUGUAGAUAUCAUGGGAAUCGUAGUUUCAAGUUAUCAGCCAAUAAUCAAAGAUUUCAAUGGACAGCAAACAAAGCUUAUGGAUAUCAUCAUAGAAGAUUUGGAGUAAUAUUUAUUAUACUUUCAAUUAUGUUAAUUGCAUAAAUAAAAUACCUCAAUAUA